Molecule: long non-coding RNA, 2015 nt
Filed under: Salmo salar (Atlantic salmon)
Lineage: Eukaryota; Metazoa; Chordata; Actinopteri; Salmoniformes; Salmonidae
Description: lncRNA (ENSSSAG00000099831.1, ENSSSAG00020061516.1)
Source: RNAcentral
GCUUCAUCUUCUACUUGGUGGACUACAAGCCCCUCAGGUUUAAAUGGUGGUACGUGUAGCCAGACUGGGCCUUUGCACUGGGCUGGGCCAUGGCCCUCUCCUCCAACCUCCUGGUGCCACUGUGAUCGAUUGGCAGGAUCUAUGUUGGCACAGGCCGCCUCAGGCAGAUUUAGGAUACUACUGAGGAGAUUACCAUUGUGGGAGCCAGGAGGAGGAAAGCCAAGAGGACAAUUCAGACCCAGAGCUGAGGUGGCUCCAAAAAACCCAGCAACUCAAGGACAAGAAAAUGAGACGACAGAAGCUGUAUUCAAAUGUGAUCCGCCCUGGAGUAUGCCAGGUGCAUCCUGCGGCCCAAGGUGGCGCCCCUGCCUCAGCAGACCAAGACCAGACAGCCAGAGUGGGCCCAGGGGCCACACUCGCCUCCUGGAGGGCUUCGACAUAUCCCAGCUGGCCACACUGGAGGCCCUGAGGAAACGGCGAGAGCAGGAGAAACAGACCGUGGCCCACUUCAAGAAAUCCAGUUAAUUGAAGGAGUCUCUCACCACCACACAUGAAGGGGGCUAAAUUAGCAUCCCUUUCUGCCGAUUGGAAUAGCCGGGGCAGACGCGCACGCUUUGAUGUGAGGACAGCGCCUAAGUAGGCGGCAGGCCCCUGAAAAUGAGCUGAUGGCCCCACUAUUAGGCCCAAAUGCAGAUGCAUCCAUGUGUUGCAAAACGCUUAAUCUUUUAAUUGAUCACCUUCCGCACAGCCUAUUCUCUUCAACGCUUUUUAUUUUCUCAGUAAAUCUGCAUCACGUUUUGAAAACGACAUGAUUUGCUUUUCAAAGGGCGGGAGAGUGCUACAUAUCCUGUUUGGAUGAGCCUGUUAAUGUAAACCUUCUAAAUUGAUGGGGAGCUGCCUCAUGGUGCACAUUUAAAUGACUGAAUAAAUUAAAUAAUAGCUGGUAUUGAUGAUUUUGGCCUGUGCGCGUGUGUGUGCGUACGUGUGUGUGGGUAUGGUGUGAAUGCAUGUGUGUGUGAGUACACAUGUGCAUGCUUUUAAAGGCUAAGGCCCAGAAGGCUAACUGCAAGUGUGACUGCAACUGCAAGUGUGGGUAUAGAUGUGGGUACAUAGACCCGCUAGACACUGCGGCCCCUCAUGAUAAGUUCUGAUUUUUUGUGGCCAUCAAAGUUGCCCAUGCCUGCUAUAGAUGAUCACAGUUCACUAAUUGAGCUAUGACCGAUGACAAUUGAAGUUCCAUAACAUUCUGAUCAAACCAAUGUGUUCCCAGUGGUACCCUGAGCAGUGCUCUGGCCAGGUUCUCCAUGAUUAGGUUUUUGGUCUCAGGGAUAACCUCUAUGGAUUGGAAUCCACCCACUCACUCUUGUUACACUACUACUUUGGGUGUGCCAGGUCAUCUAGAGGUUAGAGAGGCGGUCCAGCAGCCGGAGGGUUGCCAGUUCGAAUCCCAAGUCUGAUAGGAAAAUCUUGUGGCAAGUGGCAUGCCAUCUCCUGCCAUUGCACCCUUGAGCAAAGCACUUAACCCAUAAUCUGCCCCAGGGGCAGACCCUGGCAUGCAACUCCUUGGUGUGUGUGUGUAGGUGUUUGUGCUUCUCUGGGGUUUGGGUUAAAAGGCAAAUUGUCUGAAAAUAAAAUGGAUAAGAAAGUAUGUUUCUACUAGAGAUGAUACCUAAAGAAAAAUGUAUCACUCAUUGCCAUAGCAGAAGAAAUUAGCGUAGUUACUCAAAUGGAAACCAUUAUAUUUCUAUGUUUACUCACCUGUAGGCCUAAAGGGUAGCGUUUGCAUGCUACUGGUGAGUGUUAUCUAAGGUGAGUAUCUUCUAAGAAUGUGUACAAACAACAAACCAAUUCAAUGGGCCAAAGGCCCUACUGAUCCUUACCAUAUUCAGAGAAAAUGAAAAAUGGGUGUGUUACGAAGGAGUUACUUUCACCAAGACAUGGACAUUAUUUUCAAUAUUGUGAUUUAAACUCCCAUCAAUUACUGUUGUGUUUUGAUUAAAACAUGCUAUGCGUUA